This 433-nucleotide ribosomal RNA is filed under the name uncultured bacterium. Its description in RNAcentral is "partial 16S ribosomal RNA". It matches the Rfam family "Bacterial small subunit ribosomal RNA", at positions 29 to 507 of the family's 1533-position model. The record is from RNAcentral.
AACGAACGCUGGCGGCAUGCCUAACACAUGCAAGUCGAACGAGACCUUCGGGUCUAGUGGCGCACGGGUGCGUAACGCGUGGGAACCUGCCCUUAGGUUCGGAAUAACUCCCCGAAAGGGGUGCUAAUACCGGAUAAUGUCUUCGGACCAAAGUUUUAUCGCCUUUGGAUGGGCCCGCGUUGGAUUAGCUAGUUGGUAGGGUAAAAGCCUACCAAGGCGACGAUCCAUAGCUGGUCUGAGAGGAUGAUCAGCCACACUGGGACUGAGACACGGCCCAGACUCCUACGGGAGGCAGCAGUGGGGAAUAUUGGACAAUGGGCGAAAGCCUGAUCCAGCAAUGCCGCGUGAGUGAUGAAGGCCUUAGGGUUGUAAAGCUCUUUUACCCGGGAUGAUAAUGACGGUACCGGGAGAAUAAGCUCCGGCUAACUCCGUG